AGCAGAGAAACUUUUAUUUGUCCUAUAGCCAUUUCAAUUCAAUUGAACUACACUUCUCUUUAUUUAAACUCUUGAGACACCUCAUAAAAAAGCAACAUCUGAAUUUGUUUCUCUUCUUCUCUAGCUACAUUAUAACCAUUGAUGUUAUUCUUCAUCUUUCUGCUACUUAACACUGAGAUAAGAAAAAUGGGUGUAGGUGGAAUAGCCAGCACCGGGGGAGGGAAUAAGGAGUACCGAGGAAAGUUCACUCAUUUUGUUUUAUGAUCAUGCUUGGCAGCUUCAAUGGGUGGUUUAAUCUUCGGCUACCAUGGAGUUUCAGAAUCAGAAUGUUGUUGUCAUCUGCAGAAUAUCCCAUGAUGUCGGAACCACCUGUGGGAAUAUUUCCAACCAUGUUAUUCAAGAAUCCUGACUACAGCUACUUCCACCGACCUCCGCUGUGGCUUAUUUACAUCUUCAUUUUCAUCGUCGUGGUGGUAGUUGCAGCAGUGCUGGGUUGGGCAAUACUUCCGCUAUUCUUAGAAUGGUGGAAUGCAACAUUGAUUAAAGAGGAUGUCAACAAUGGUUUCUAACUACUCAUUACAUUUGGUAUACUCUUCGCCAAUGUAUUGAACUUCUUCUUUAUGAAAGCCAUUCUAAUAGACCACAAGCAGCAAAGGAACAGCUUCAAAAAAUUUGUACAAUGUCGAUGAAGAGUUCAACGAUCUUGUGGCAGCGAGUAUAGCUUCAACGAGAGUUGAACAGCCUUUGAGAAAAUUGCGGGAAAGGAAGCAUAGAGCACAAGUUUCUUGUGGCACAAUGUUUCUUAACCAUGCUCUGCCAUAUGAAGUUUGGAUUGUUCAUAUUCUUUGCCGCUUGUGACUAUGACAAUCUUUGUAUACUUCAUACUGCCAGAAACUAAAGGAAUUGCUAUUGAUGAGAAGGGCAGUGUUUGGAGAUCUCACUGGUUUGGAUUUGUAGAAAAUAAUGAUGUUGAGAUGGACCAGCAACUGAUUAGUCUAGAUUUUAGUUUAUUUUAUUUUGUUAAGAAAUUAGUUCUCUUUUUAUUUUCUAUUGUUGUACAAACAUGACACAACACAGCAAGCAAAAUGCACUAAGUAGAACCAUAGAACUCAGCAAUUAAAAAAGGAGAACAUUCAUGGUGAGAAGUUUUUCUAUUCAUGACAAUUGUGUCUAAAAUAUUAAAAUUAACUAUAUGUUGUAGUCUAUUGAUCAAGAUCAUCACUCAGGAUCAUAAUUUUUCAGUUCAUGAAUAUGAAAAGUAGGAAACAAAUUAAUAUA
Molecule: long non-coding RNA, 1278 nt
Organism: Cicer arietinum (chickpea)
Lineage: Eukaryota; Viridiplantae; Streptophyta; Magnoliopsida; Fabales; Fabaceae
Source: RefSeq, a predicted model, not a curated record